AAUAGAUACCCCGGUAGUCCACGCCCUAAACGAUGUCUACUAGUUGUUGGUGGAGUAAAAUCCAUUAGUAACGCAGCUAACGCGUGAAGUAGACCGCCUGGGGAGUACGGUCGCAAGAUUAAAACUCAAAGGAAUUGACGGGGCCCGCACAAGCGGUGGAUUAUGUGGAUUAAUUCGAUGCAACGCGAAAAACCUUACCUGGCCUUGACAUGCCACUAACGAAGCAGAGAUGCAUUAGGUGCCCGAAAGGGAAAGUGGACACAGGUGCUGCAUGGCUGUCGUCAGCUCGUGUCGUGAGAUGUUGGGUUAAGUCCCGCAACGAGCGCAACCCUUGCCAAUAAUUGCCAUCAUUCAGUUGGGCACUUUAUUGGGACUGCCGGUGACAAACCGGAGGAAGUGGGGAUGACGUCAAGUCCUCAUGGCCCUUAUGGCCAGGGCUUCACACGUAAUACAAUGGUCGGUACAGAGGGUAGCCAAGCCGCGAGGUGGAGCCAAUCCCAGAAAGCCGAUCGUAGUCCGGAUUGCAGU
This 528-nucleotide ribosomal RNA is filed under the name uncultured bacterium. RNAcentral's name for it is "bacterial SSU rRNA". It matches the Rfam family "Bacterial small subunit ribosomal RNA", at positions 777 to 1304 of the family's 1533-position model. The record is from RNAcentral.